UUGUGGCAAUGGUUAGAUGAGCACAUGAGGAAAAUCACUGGUUGAUGCCCUGAAGAACCAACCCCAAUCUCAGAACACACUGACUGUUACAAUCGUGUGCCACUGCCAGCCACUGCCAGGCCAGCGCUCUUUCUGCUGCUUCCAGAGUUCACUUUUCCUGCUGGCCACACUGCGGCGUGACCCACGCUGCCUAGCGGGUGGGGCAGGCAAAGCACAGCAAGGCACGUAACGGCUGAGCACUGCGAAGAGUCGCUUUCAGCACAAGGCUAGCCCAGCCAGCGGAGGCGAGACUCUUCAGUUCCCUCCUGCACCUCUGGCCACAGAGCUGCUCUUCUGAGCGGAGCAAGCUGUUUCUGUCAAGCCUCAGUUUUUCAGCUCUAAAAUGGGAACACUACAGUAGUCAAGUCAUAGUUGUACAUUCUUAAUUCUCAUAGAAUUUUUCAAAAUUCCAGGGCAGGCACCCGUCACUCUAAAAACCAAGAUACACUAAUGCCUCUGAAUGGCAUCCCUGUGCAGGUACACAGAUGGGGAAUUUCACAUGAACGGAGAGCACAAAGCCCACGUGGAAACGUCACAUCAGGGCCAUAAAUAAGUAAGUUCGUGGUUAUCUGCUAGUUUGUAUUACGGAUAUCUUUACUCUCUGCCCCCAGAGAUAUAAUCCAAACGUAACUGCAUUUUCCACACGAACAGCAAGAUUCAGGAUCAAAAAGUCAAUGGAACAACUUUUUUUUUUUCUGGGAAACUGGUAAUAGGUGUGGUGAGUGUUAUGUAGUAUCUAUGCGUUAUGAAGUGUAAGUGGGUAACUACAAAAUUUUCUCCACUCAAAAGGUAAUUAGUAAGGGCUUAGGGUGCAGCCCAGCGGUUAAGCACUUGCCGAGCAAGCAGGAGGCUCCAGGUUCCACUUCCAGCAGGGGGUACACGUGGGGGUGGACAAUUAGUGUCUGCUCCUGGUGCCACAGCCAGGGAUGAGGGGGAUACUGAUGUGCUGGCAGCCCAUGCUGCCUCCUAACAGCUCAGCCCGAUGACUGAAAAGCCUGCUUAACAAGGACCCUGUGCAUUUUUCAUAUUGGUUUCAGUCUUUAUGGACCAUAAAUACAGCCUUAAUACUACCAGGCAGAACUAAACCACUCUGCUCCUACAGCUUCACAAGCCUUCUUGCGUGUGAAGAUACCCAGCCGUGCUGCGCGAACGCACUCACGGGGUGACGGCCAACACAGGACUGCUCUGGCACGCCGCAGUGAGAAAGCUCCUAAACAAGCAGAGGCGAGGGGAGGGGAGGGGCUCCUCUGUAACAGGGGAAACGGGAAAGCCAUGUGCUGAAGAUUGUUUUCUUCCUCCUUAAUAAAACCACGAGGUGCUGUGAAGACAGCAUGGAGGGUCAGCGAGGACUUAGCGGGCCUUCAAGACAGGUUGCCCAGCAACAAGUGAUCCUGGGCGAAGAGCGUGUGUCUGCGGGAGGGGUCUGAUUAGGAGGAUCCCAGCCGGGGGAGAAGUCCUCCCCACUGGGUCUCAGCCCAAAGCUUCCGGCCCACAGGACAACAGUUCCCUUCUGGAGUCUAAUAAAAUAUAAACGGUUACAUUCCUAGUCUAAAGCUUAAUGUACAGAACACGGAGGGGGCAGCACUGUGUGGAGAUAAAACAGGAACACAAAAGGCAGUUUCUGAGGAGCUCCAGGAAACGGGCGUUGGCCGCACGGGGCCUGUAGCUGGCUGACAGAAGCCGCGGCUCAGGCGUGUGCUGUGUGUGCGUCUCUCCAGGGCAGCACGGGUGGGAGCCUCCGGAGGUGAGCCCGGCUGGAAGAACGCCCACUGAGGCAGACUGCUUCUGGAGCGCAAGGCAAACGACAAAUCCUCUCCUUCUCCACUUGGACAGGAAAACAGCUUACUCAUUCACCUCCAUGUUACACAAGAAAGUGGCAGCUGGAGUAGAGAGCGGCAGAGGCGGACACUGAGAGCUGAGCUGCGGACCCUCAGAGCACAGGUGACACUAUGAAGAAGACGCAGACUGGAAGAACUGCGAGGGAAGGCGGUGGUCCUGGUUUGGAGCAGGAACCAAGGCAGCUGUCUUCCUCCCUUACACGGCUAACUCACUGAAGAGCGAAAAGGCAGCACACCUUAACUGAAAAAUAAAAAUAUAAUACAAUAA
Long non-coding RNA from Chinchilla lanigera (long-tailed chinchilla), 2145 nucleotides. RefSeq lists it as uncharacterized. The record is from RefSeq and is a predicted model, not a curated record. NCBI's taxonomy places the organism in Eukaryota, Metazoa, Chordata, Mammalia, Rodentia, Chinchillidae. The transcript is spliced from 3 exons.